CCUUAUUCACAAACCCUAAGCGUUCUCUACAAACCCUAAGUGCUCUCGUCUACUUCUCUCCGAUCUUCAACGUUCGACCCCUCCCCUCCAAUCAGACGACGCCGGCGACCGCCUCUCACCCUCUCCUAGACGACGCCGGCGACUGUGACUCCGAUCAGACCAGCCGCACUCGUCCUUCGUUUUGGUCUCGGUUUAAAGUCUCGUGGGGAAGUUGGUGGAACGUUGUAACCGGAAAAUGAUAGAAGAGAGAUUUUGGAGUUUGAGUUCCCUGAUGAUGAUGGUUACGCGUCCGCUUUUGGAUGAUCAGUUCGACACUAUCUACCAGACUUGGAAAAGGCAAGAAGAAACUAGGAAAAGCGGCUGUAAAUUGCCAACAACUUGAAGGCGAGAAAGUGCUAAGACUUUGCAAGAUGUUGAAGAGGUUCCUGAACAUAAAGGAGUAUCACUUUAAAUCAAAGACUCCUAUUGAACUGAAAGGCGCUUGUUGGACUGGGGGUAGAAUACUUUCACCUUCCUUCAGGGAUACAAUGGCUCCUAGGCAAGAUUGA
Molecule: long non-coding RNA, 548 nt
Organism: Cucumis melo (muskmelon)
Lineage: Eukaryota; Viridiplantae; Streptophyta; Magnoliopsida; Cucurbitales; Cucurbitaceae
Exons: 5
Source: RefSeq, a predicted model, not a curated record